This 26-nucleotide unclassified non-coding RNA is filed under the name Mus musculus (house mouse). RNAcentral describes it as "oocyte_clustered_small_RNA12066". The record is from RNAcentral. Lineage: Eukaryota; Metazoa; Chordata; Mammalia; Rodentia; Muridae.
UAAGCAUGGGCCUGCCUGUCUUUGAG